This 677-nucleotide ribosomal RNA is filed under the name uncultured archaeon. RNAcentral describes it as "bacterial SSU rRNA". It matches the Rfam family "Archaeal small subunit ribosomal RNA", at positions 321 to 999 of the family's 1478-position model. The record is from RNAcentral.
CCCUAUGGGGUGCAGCAGGCGCGAAAACUUGGCAAUGCGAGAAAUCGUGACCAGGGAACUCCAAGUGGCUGGGGUAAGACCCAGUCUUUUCUUGACUCUUCAAAGGUCUUGGAAUAAGGGGUGGGUAAGGACGGUGCCAGCCGCCGCGGUAAUACCGGCGCCUCAAGUGGUAGUCGAUUUUAUUGGGCCUAAAACGUCCGUAGCCUGUUUGGUACAUUCGUGGGUAAAUCAACCAGCUCAACUGGUUGAAUUCUGCGAGCACGGCCAGACUUGGGACCGGGAGAGGUGUGGGGUACGCUCAGGGUAGGGGUAAAAUCCUGUCAUCCUGAGCGGACCACCUGUUGCGAAGGCGCCACACUAGAACGGAUCCGACGGUCAGGGACGAAGCCUAGGGGCACGAACCGGAUUAGAUACCCGGGUAGUCCUAGGUGUAAACGCUGUGGACUUGGUGUUGGGGACUCUCCGAGAUUCCUCAGUGCCGAAGCGAAGGUGAUAAGUCCACUGCCUGGGGAGUACGGUCGCAAGGCUGAAACUUAAAGGAAUUGGCGGGGGAGCACCGCAACCUGAGGAUUGUGCGGUUUAAUUGGAUUCAACGCCGGAAAACUCACCAGUGCCGACGGACAAAUGAAAGCCAGUGUGGUGAGCUUGCUGGAUUGUUCGAGAGGUAGUGCAUGGCC